ACAAAGGAGAUUUCAGGACCACUAUUCAUUUUGCAGAUCUGGGCUUGGGAGAGAUUUAAAAUAAUCUCUCCAUCAAUAAGGGAUCCAUCAGCUCCUCAUGAUGCACCUCUAGGUGCUAGGUGGAGUAGAGCUCGACAAAUCACUGAAGUAACAACUCAUGUACUGCCACAAAUUCGGUACAACCUUGACCGGAUGCGACCUGAAGAUAUCACUUGGGAACCAUAUAGUGAGGAAUUAUUGGAUGAGCUGCCAGACAUGUGUAUCCAAGGUCGUCCCAGUUGGAAGACAGUGGUGCCAUUAAUUUGCUUUCAUAUUAUUGAAUGGCACCAACCUGACAGAGUCAUGAGGCAGUUUGGUUUGGCCCAGCCUAUUCCAGCACCACCGAUGCAAACAGAUGAG
Long non-coding RNA from Hevea brasiliensis (rubber tree), 399 nucleotides. RefSeq lists it as uncharacterized. The transcript is spliced from 3 exons. The record is from RefSeq and is a predicted model, not a curated record. Lineage: Eukaryota; Viridiplantae; Streptophyta; Magnoliopsida; Malpighiales; Euphorbiaceae.